AACGAACGCUGGCGGCAGGCUUAACACAUGCAAGUCGAACGGUGUAGCAAUACACAGUGGCAGACGGGUGAGGAACACGUGGGAACAUCCCUUUCGGUUCGGAAUAACGUUGGGAAACUAACGCUAAUACCGGAUACGUCCUUCGGGAGAAAGAUUUAUCGCUGAAAGAUUGGCCCGCGUCCGAUUAGCUAGUUGGUGAGGUAAUGGCUCACCAAGGCUACGAUCAGUAGCUGAUCUGAGAGGAUGAUCAGCCACAUUGGGACUGAGACACGGCCCAAACUCCUACGGGAGGCAGCAGUGGGGAAUAUUGGACAAUGGGCGCAAGCCUGAUCCAGCCAUGCCGCGUGAGUGAUGACGGCCUUCGGGUUGUAAAGCUCUUUUGUCCGGGAAGAUAAUGACUGUACCGGAAGAAUAAGCCCCGGCAAACUUCGUGCCAGCCGCCGCAGUAA
This 449-nucleotide ribosomal RNA is filed under the name uncultured bacterium. Its description in RNAcentral is "partial 16S ribosomal RNA". It matches the Rfam family "Bacterial small subunit ribosomal RNA", at positions 29 to 523 of the family's 1533-position model. The record is from RNAcentral.